AUUGAACGCUGGCGGCAUGCUUUACACAUGCAAGUCGAACGGUAACAGGUCUUCGGAUGCUGACGAGUGGCGAACGGGUGAGUAAUACAUCGGAACGUGCCUAGUAGUGGGGGAUAACUACUCGAAAGAGUAGCUAAUACCGCAUGAGGUCUACGGAUGAAAGCAGGGGACCUUCGGGCCUUGUGCUACUAGAGCGGCUGAUGGCAGAUUAGGUAGUUGGUGGGGUAAAGGCUUACCAAGCCUGCGAUCUGUAGCUGGUCUGAGAGGACGACCAGCCACACUGGGACUGAGACACGGCCCAGACUCCUACGGGAGGCAGCAGUGGGGAAUUUUGGACAAUGGGCGAAAGCCUGAUCCAGCAAUGCCGCGUGCAGGAUGAAGGCCCUCGGGUUGUAAACUGCUUUUGUACGGAACGAAAAGCCUGGGGCUAAUAUCCCCGGGUCAUGACGGUACCGUAAGAAUAAGCACCGGCUAACUACGUG
This 482-nucleotide ribosomal RNA is filed under the name uncultured bacterium. RNAcentral describes it as "partial 16S ribosomal RNA". It matches the Rfam family "Bacterial small subunit ribosomal RNA", at positions 30 to 507 of the family's 1533-position model. The record is from RNAcentral.